CCUACGGGUGGCUGCAGUGGGGAAUAUUGCACAAUGGGCGCAGGCCUGAUGCUGCCAUGCCGCGUGUGUGAAGAAGGCCUUCGGGUUGUAAAGCACUUUCAGCGGGGAGGAAGGCGGUGAGGUUAAUAACCUCAUCGAUUGACGUUACCCGCAGAAGAAGCACCGGCUAACUCCGUGCCAGCAGCCGCGGUAAUACGGAGGGUGCAAGCGUUAAUCGGAAUUACUGGGCGUAAAGCGCACGCAGGCGGUCUGUCAAGUCGGAUGUGAAAUCCCCGGGCUCAACCUGGGAACUGCAUUCGAAACUGGCAGGCUAGAGUCUUGUAGAGGGGGGUAGAAUUCCAGGUGUAGCGGUGAAAUGCGUAGAGAUCUGGAGGAAUACCGGUGGCGAAGGCGGCCCCCUGGACAAAGACUGACGCUCAGGUGCGAAAGCGUGGGGAGCAAACAGGAUUAGAUACCCUUGUAGUC
RNAcentral lists this ribosomal RNA (465 nucleotides) under uncultured Klebsiella sp. Its description in RNAcentral is "bacterial SSU rRNA". It matches the Rfam family "Bacterial small subunit ribosomal RNA", at positions 338 to 795 of the family's 1533-position model. Lineage: Bacteria; Pseudomonadati; Pseudomonadota; Gammaproteobacteria; Enterobacterales; Enterobacteriaceae. The record is from RNAcentral.